Molecule: ribosomal RNA, 1287 nt
Filed under: metagenome
Description: bacterial SSU rRNA
Rfam family: Bacterial small subunit ribosomal RNA
Source: RNAcentral
UAGCUAGUUGGUGAGGUGAAGGCUUACCAAGGCGACGAUCUGUAGCGGGUCUGAGAGGAUGAUCCGCCACACUGGAACUGAGACACGGUCCAGACUCCUACGGGAGGCAGCAGUGGGGAAUUUUGGACAAUGGGGGCAACCCUGAUCCAGCCAUGCCGCGUGAGUGAAGAAGGCCUUCGGGUUGUAAAGCUCUUUCGGCCGGGAAGAAAUCGCAUGGGCCAAUACCCUGUGUGGAUGACGGUACCGGAAUAAGAAGCACCGGCUAACUACGUGCCAGCAGCCGCGGUAAUACGUAGGGUGCGAGCGUUAAUCGGAAUUACUGGGCGUAAAGCGUGCGCAGGCGGUUUUGUAAGACAGGCGUGAAAUCCCCGGGCUUAACCUGGGAACUGCGUUUGUGACUGCAAGGCUAGAGUACGGCAGAGGGGGGUGGAAUUCCACGUGUAGCAGUGAAAUGCGUAGAGAUGUGGAGGAACACCAAUGGCGAAGGCAGCCCCCUGGGUCGAUACUGACGCUCAUGCACGAAAGCGUGGGUAGCAAACAGGAUUAGAUACCCUGGUAGUCCACGCCCUAAACUAUGUCAACUAGGUGUUGGGUGGGUAAAACCAUUUAGUACCGUAGCUAACGCGUGAAGUUGACCGCCUGGGGAGUACGGCCGCAAGGUUAAAACUCAAAGGAAUUGACGGGGACCCGCACAAGCGGUGGAUGAUGUGGAUUAAUUCGAUGCAACGCGAAAAACCUUACCUACCCUUGACAUGCCAGGAACUUGCCAGAGAUGGCUUGGUGCCCGAAAGGGAGCCUGGGCACAGGUGCUGCAUGGCUGUCGUCAGCUCGUGUCGUGAGAUGUUGGGUUAAGUCCCGCAACGAGCGCAACCCUUGUCGUUAAUUGCCAUCAUUUAGUUGGGCACUUUAACGAGACUGCCGGUGACAAACCGGAGGAAGGUGGGGAUGACGUCAAGUCCUCAUGGCCCUUAUGGGUAGGGCUUCACACGUCAUACAAUGGUCGGUACAAAGGGUUGCCAAGCCGCGAGGCGGAGCCAAUCCCAGAAAGCCGAUCGUAGUCCGGAUUGCAGGCUGCAACUCGCCUGCAUGAAGUCGGAAUCGCUAGUAAUCGUGGAUCAGCAUGUCACGGUGAAUACGUUCCCGGGUCUUGUACACACCGCCCGUCACACCAUGGGAGCGGGUUCCGCCAGAAGUAGGUAGCCUAACCGCAAGGGGGGCGCUUACCACGGCGGGGUUCGUGACUGGGGUGAAGUCGUAACAAGGUAGCCGUAGGGGAACCUGCGGCUG